CAAUAGCGUAUAUUAAAGCUGUUGCGGUUAAAAAGCUCGUAGUUGGAUUUCUGUCAAGGACAACUGGUCCGCCCUCCGGGUGAGCACAUAGUUUGGUCUUGGCAUCUUGCUGGAAACUGUUGCUGCGCUUGGUUGUGUGGUGCAGCUUUCAGCACUUUCACUUUGAGGAAAUUGGAGUGUUUCAAGCAGGCACAUGCCUUUGGACACAGUAGCAUGGAAUAAUUAGAUUGGGCUUUUGCUCCAACUUGUUGGUUUCUGGAGCUGAGGUGAGAAUUAAUGGGGAUUGUUGGGGGCAUCCGAAUUUAGCCGUCAGAGGUGAAAUUCUUGGAUCUGCUAAAGACGGACAACUGCGAAAGCGUUUGCCCAGGAUGUUUUCAUUGA
Molecule: ribosomal RNA, 381 nt
Filed under: uncultured eukaryote
Lineage: Eukaryota
Description: partial 18S ribosomal RNA
Rfam family: Eukaryotic small subunit ribosomal RNA
Source: RNAcentral